CAGGGCAGGCUACCACCUGACUUGUCAUUCUUUGUCUCUAAGACCAAUGUGGACAAUCCCUCACUACCUCCAUCACCUAACUUCCCCCUCCUCCAUAUAUCACCCAUGUUCCCCUGGUUUCAUUUUGUUCCCAGAGAGAGAGAGAGAGAGGAGGAGGAGGAGGAGGAGGAGGAGGAGGAAGCCCUGGUCGUUGUUUCUUCCACUGGUUUCCAAACAUCCCAAGAACUGGAAGGGCAAAAGAAGUGAGGAUUUAUCGGAGAAUGGAAGAUAAGGGCAUGUAAGGGAGCUGAUUCCAUCACAUGAACCCACAAAUUUAGAUGAAUUCAGGGACGCCUCUGUUUUGCUAUUUUACCUUCUAUUUGACUAUGACAUUAUGAACAAAUUCUCAUAAUUCUAGACUUAGAUUGGAACAAGGCAACUAUUGUCAGAUCCUAUUACAAAAAAAGACCAAUUCUUGUAUCAGAAAAAUGUUGAAUAUGCUUGGCAAAUCUCA
Molecule: long non-coding RNA, 493 nt
Organism: Rhododendron vialii
Lineage: Eukaryota; Viridiplantae; Streptophyta; Magnoliopsida; Ericales; Ericaceae
Exons: 2
Source: RefSeq, a predicted model, not a curated record